UCCAAUCCUGCACAUCCAUCCACAGCUAUUAUAGUUGUCAUUAUAUGUGGCGCUGUAGCUGUUUGUGCCCUUUUGGUUAUUUUUCUUUGUCAGAAAAGAAGAAAAGGGACACCUGCUACUCAAAAUAGAUCAGUUACCUCAAAUGUUGAAACAGAACAAGAAAGACAUAUUACCUCAAAUGUUGAUGAAGAGUGGGAAAAGGAUAAGAAGGAUGACAGGAUUACAUAUGCAACACUACAGCCACAUCAAGUUGGUUCUCGGCUCAAGAACGUUGUUCAGGAAAAUUCAACAGAGUACGCCGCUGUCUGUCUCAAGAGUGUGCCAGAUAAUGAUAUCACCUACGUUACUGUGAACACUGCCAAGUGACGUACAAAUGCUAAAAUACCAAUGUAUUAUAUAGAGGGCCACGGUACAGAAUAUGCUGCAAUUACAAGGCAAAACAAAAAGAUUAAGAAGCAAAGACAUUAAUCCAUGUUUGCUGCAGACUGCCCUUAUACUGGCUAUUAACUAACCAUAUAUCAAGUGUAUAAAACAUGGCAAUAAAGUAUGUUUAUCGUGUGUCAGCAUUUUUUAUUAUGACAAAUUACAUUUUUUUCUCUCUUCAAAAUGCCAAUAACCAACUGAAUAAGAAAAGGGUCAGGAAGAAGGACCAUCUUAAUGAAGUGAAGCUAAACAACAGAAUUAGGAAGUCAGGAACAAAAAGCUGGAUUAGCAGGCAGCUAAAGUAGUAAGGGACAGAGCUGAGGAACAGAGACGGGGCUCUUUGUCAUCUAUACUUUUAAAUCUUCCAGUGUUUGUAAUAGACAGAAUGCAGGAGAGCUCUCAGGCUAGACGUCUAUACCUGCAGCAGAAGAUGACCCUGGUCAAUACUGGAUUCCCAGCCAUUUUGGCCUUGUGUAUCUGUGGGGUCAUAUCACCCUCAUAUUGAGUCAAGACUAUGACAAAUCUGAAAACAUUUGAGGGGCAUUAUGCUUUAAAAGAAUGGUGAGGCAUGUAAAGAGUUUGGGGUAGGUGGGACAGGAUGUCUAAAGAUUACAAAGGUUUGAAUGAAAAUUACUGAUGGACUUCACCUGCCUGCUAAUGUUGGCACUUCAGACAGAUAAUAGAUUACAUAUGCAUCACUAAUACAAUGAGUACUAUGCUGCAAUGAAUGAACACAAUUUAUGAAAAAAUGUGGGAAAACCUUUUCUUGAUUGCCCACAGUGGUGUGCUUUGACUGUCAAAUUGCAGACUAUGUGCAGUCUAAUCACUCUGCAAGUAAGAUAUACUUUUUUAUUUCCCUUAUCAGUGGGAAAGGGGGUGUCUGAGUUCAAAGUGUCUUUAAAAUGUUCGACAAAGAUUGACAGUUGGCGAAUAAGAUUAAGGCUGUGAGUUGUUAAUGAACAAGUUUCUGUACAGGGUUUGGUUCCCUCAACCGGCAUUUGCCUAUUCUAUGAUCUUGAGCAGGUCACUUAACCAUACAGCACUUUGGGAAAAUUAGGAAUUUGGCCCAGGCCCAUUAUUUGUCUCCUGGAUGGUAUGCCGAGUGCCUACCUUUGAACCUAAGAACAAGAAAACUGCUGCUGGACUGGAAUCAUGAAUCCAGGAGGCAGGAUGCUGGACAGCAGUAUAUUUCCAAGAAAUGUACAGUUUUAAAUAAUUCUUAUGGCACAAUGCUAUGGGAAUUAGAGGGACAAAAGUAGAAACAAUAUUCCAACAUAUAACUGAAGUUUUAGACCUCAUGUCAAAUCAUUAAUAACCCUGUUCCAGAAAAUUGUGCUUCCUUCACAUCUGAAAACCUAAAAGUAUCAUAAAAAAUGAUUGAAGAACAUUAACCUAGCUUGUAAUAUAAAUAAAAAAUGUUUCAGGGACAGUUGUGUGUCUCAGAGACUACCCCUACUAUGGAAUAGACUUCCCAUUCAUGUGAACCCAGGUUCAACCCUGACCCUACUCAAAUGAAAAUUUGAUCAAUGAAUUGGGAAUCAGAAUUUUUCCUCUGGGCCAGCACCUAUGGCAGCUUGUAAAUGCUAUUGUUACCUUAACAUAAUUAUAUGUAUCCAGUAAUAUAUCCUGCUAUGUAUCAAUGGAAAAAUAUGGCCAGCCCAAACUAUUUAUUAAGAGGAACCUCAGGGAGCUUGAACUGUCAUCUAUCAUUUUGAAGAAGUGCUAGGGAACAUUUCUCACCAUAAAUAAAAUCUAAAAUAAAGACAAAAAAGUUAAGAUCCCAUAUAGCUUUUCUGAUGAAAGAAUAUAUUAUUUUAUGAUUUUGUGGUUCAGCAGAAUGAGGUUUAGAGUUUGUGGGUGUAAAGGCCAAUUUUGUUGUGGAAAAAUACAUUUAAAAGCUGGGAAAAUAUGGUUAGGUUUAAAAAGAACUCUUAGGGUCAUUAGCCUAGGAAUUUCCUAUGUACCUAUGAACCUAUGAUGGUUCUGGUAUGUUUGAUCAAAAGCAAGAUUUUUUUUUUAAAUAUGGAAAGGAGGGAGUGGUUCUUUUCCUCUGUUUCAAGAAGAACAAUUGAUAAUGUAAUUGUAAUAUUAAUAAUGCAAAAGGUGAAGAGCAAUUGAGAAAGAAUGCAAAAUGAAAGGAAAGAGAUGUUGAGAUUUUGAUAAAGCAGGAAUUUGUUGAAAAGUAUGGGAGAAGGGGAUUAGAAUAGUACAGCCCAAGACAUUGCACAGAUAACUUUCCAUGCAGUAUUGAAACGGGGAAGCGGUUGGUUGUAGGAGAUAAGGUGAGUAGGUAGAGAAAGGCAACAGGAAGGUGAGGUUGGACAUAUGACUCCAUAAAGAGAGAGAGUCCUGGGAAGUACCAGAGUAGAUGUUGGUAAAUGGGGUGGUAGGAUAGUGGUUGACUCAGAUAUUGGGGGAACAGAAGGAAGUAUUCUUCUAGGAGAAUAAUUGGGACAAUAACAGAGUAGUGUAUUGUUGCAAUGCCACAAAUCCUGCAUGGCUACAAGUUGAACAGAUUUUUAUAAUGUUAGAAGAGUUGCAAGCACCUAAGUGAAUUGUACAUGCAUGACAUUAGCUUUUUACUGUAAUUUCUCAAUGCAAUGUAUAAAAAUACCAGAAACAAUUUUACAAAUCCAAAUAAGAUGUGCAAUAAAGUUACUCUUUAAAGACAGACCAUAUGUUAAUAAAGUCACUUGGCAUUUUUAA
Long non-coding RNA from Protopterus annectens (West African lungfish), 3129 nucleotides. RefSeq lists it as uncharacterized. The transcript has 4 exons. The record is from RefSeq and is a predicted model, not a curated record. Lineage: Eukaryota; Metazoa; Chordata; Ceratodontiformes; Protopteridae.